AUACGGAGGGUGCAAGCGUUACUCGGAAUCACUGGGCGUAAAGCGCGCGCAGGCGGCUUGAUAAGUUGGAUGUGAAAGCCUACGGCUCAACCGUAGAACUGCAUCCAAAACUGUCAAGCUAGAGACUGGGAGGGGAAGAUGGAAUUAGUUGUGUAGGGGUAAAAUCCGUAGAGAUAACUAGGAAUACCAAAAGCGAAGGCGAUCUUCUGGAACAGUACUGACGCUGAGGCGCGAAAGCGUGGGGAGCAAACAGGAUUAGAUACCCCAGUAGUCC
RNAcentral lists this ribosomal RNA (274 nucleotides) under uncultured bacterium. RNAcentral describes it as "partial 16S ribosomal RNA". It matches the Rfam family "Bacterial small subunit ribosomal RNA", at positions 523 to 796 of the family's 1533-position model. The record is from RNAcentral.